RNAcentral lists this long non-coding RNA (357 nucleotides) under Citrus maxima (pomelo). RNAcentral describes it as "long non-coding RNA (CMAX_LNC002497)". The record is from RNAcentral. Lineage: Eukaryota; Viridiplantae; Streptophyta; Magnoliopsida; Sapindales; Rutaceae.
UGCCGCUGAAUCUGUUGUUGAUACGAGUGUUGAUGAUGUCUCAGAUUCUCAAAAUUCUAUUGCUAAUCAACAAGGCAACCCCAUUGCUGAGGCUGUUUCAAAUCAAUUUGCUACUGGGCCUAUUGUUGAUAAGGAUGCCGAAGAUGACUCAAAUUCUCAGAAUUUUGUUGGUAAUCAACAAGAAAACCCUAUUGUUGAUAAGGAUGCCGAAGAUGACUCAAAUUCUCAGAAUUUUGUUGGUAAUCAACAAGAAAACCCUAUUGCUGAGGCUGUCUCAGAUCAAUUUGCCACCGAGUCUACUGUUGAUACAGAUACUGAUAAUGACUUGGAUUCUCAGAAUUCUGUUGCUAAUCAACA